Molecule: ribosomal RNA, 253 nt
Filed under: uncultured bacterium
Lineage: Bacteria
Description: partial 16S ribosomal RNA
Rfam family: Bacterial small subunit ribosomal RNA
Source: RNAcentral
UACGAAGGGGGCUAGCGUUGCUCGGAAUUACUGGGCGUAAAGCGUGCGCAGGCGAUUCUGAAAGUCAGCUGUGAAAGCCCCGGGCUUAACCUGGGAAUUGCGGUUGAAACUACAGGGCUAGAAUCUGGCAGAGGGGGGUGGAAUUCCACGUGUAGCAGUGAAAUGCGUAGAGAUGUGGAGGAACACCGAUGGCGAAGGCAGCCCCCUGGGCUGAGAUUGACGCUCAGGCACGAAAGCGUGGGGAGCAAACAGG